Platichthys flesus (European flounder) is the source of this 316-nucleotide long non-coding RNA. RefSeq lists it as uncharacterized. Lineage: Eukaryota; Metazoa; Chordata; Actinopteri; Pleuronectiformes; Pleuronectidae. The record is from RefSeq and is a predicted model, not a curated record. The transcript is spliced from 3 exons.
UGAAGUGACACUGGACUGAGUCAGCUUCCAUCCCAAGGCAGCUACAGACACACAAUUCAGAGAAACUUUGUGCAAAAGAGAUUAAAGAUGCUCCUGAUCAUCCUGAUUCAACUCCUGAUCGUCGCAUCAGCAAAUGCCCAGGCAACCACCACUGUAGCACCUACAACUGCAGCACCCACCACUGUAGCAGCUACAACUGCAGCACCCACCACUGUAGCAGCUACAACUGCAGCACCUACCACUGUAGCACCUACAACUGCAGCACCCACCACUGUAGCACCUACAACUGCAGCACCUACCACUGUAGCACCUACAA